GAAGGGCACCCGGGGAACUGAAACAUCUAAGUACCCGGAGGAAAAGAAAGAAACAUCGAUUUCGUUAGUAGCGGCGAGCGAAAGCGAAAGAGCCCAAACCAUCCGACUACGGUUGGGUGGGGUUGUGGGUCAGCAACAUGUACGACGAUGCUUAGGAGAAGAGUUCUGGAAAGGACUUCCAAAGAGGGUAAGAGGCCCGUAUCCGAAAGGUUGAAUCGGCAAGCUGAUACCAGAGUACCACAGGACACGAGGAAUCCGGUGGGAAGCAGGAGGGACCACCCUCCAAGGCUAAAUACGAUCCAGUGACCGAUAGCGCAUAGUACCGUGAGGGAAAGGUGAAAAGAACCCCGGGAGGGGAGUGAAAAAGAACCUGAAACCCUGUGCUUACAAGCAGAGAGAGCACGAUUAAGUGUGAUCUCGUACUUUUUGUAGAACGGACCGGCGAGUUACGUUAUGCAGCGAGGUUAAGAACUGAAGGUUUGGAGCCGAAGCGAAAGCGAGUCUGAAAAGGGCGAAGAGUUGCAUGACGUAGACCCGAAACCGGGUGACCUAUCCAUGGGCAGGUUGAAGUGGAAGUAAAAUUUCAUGGAGGACCGAACCAGACGUCUGUUGAAAAAGGCGGGGAUGACCUGUGGAUAGCGGAGAAAUUCCAAUCGAACCCGGAGAUAGCUGGUUCUCCUCGAAAUAGCUUUAGGGCUAGCCUCGCAUUAGUUUACCGGAGGUAGAGCACUGAAUGGUCUAGGGGGCCUCACCGCCUACCGAAACCUAUCAAACUGCGAAUGCCGGAUAAAUGAUGUGCGGGAGUCAGGCCGCGAGAGAUAAGUUCCGCGGUCAAAAGGGGAACACCCCAGAUCGUCUGCUAAGGUCCCCAAGUACGCGUUAAGUGGGAAAGGAUGUUGGAUUGCACAGACAACCAGGAUGUUGGCUUAGAAGCAGCCACACAUUCAAAGAGUGCGUAAUAGCUCACUGGUCGAGUGAUCCAGCGCCGAAAAUGUAACGGGGCUAAAACGCGACACCGAAGCAGCGGGAUGCGUAAGCAUCGGUAGAGGAGCAUUGUGUGAGGAUAGAAGCCAGAGCGGGAGCACUGGUGGACUUCACAGAAGAGAGAAUGCCGGUAUGAGUAGCGAGACCCAUGCGAGAAACAUGGGCGUCGAAGGCCCAAGGUUUCCUGGGGAAGGUUCAUCCACCCAGGGUAAGUCGGGACCUAAGCCGAGGACUGAGGUCGUAGGCGAUGGACAGCAGGUAGAGAUUCCUGCACCACUUACACUUGUUUGACGAAGCAGUGACACAGAAGGAUAGGACGAGCGCGGUGAUGGUCAACCGCGUAGGCGGCACGAGGCUGGGGAGCAGUAAAGUACACUUCCCGUGAAGGCUGAGUGCUGACAGGACCGAAAAAGAGUAGGGAAGCGUCUGAGUUCACGCUGGCGAGAAAAGCUGCUAAGGAGAGUGUGAGUGCCCGUACCGGAAACCGACGCAGGUGGGCGAGGAGAGAAUCCUGAGACGGACGGGAGAACUCUUGUUAAGGAACUCGGCAAAAUGACCCCGUAACUUCGGGAGAAGGGGUGCCUCGAAAGAGGCCGCAGAGAAUAGUCACAAGCGACUGUUUAGCAAAAACACAGGUAUCUGCGAAAGCGAGAGCUGACGUAUAGGUGCUGACGCCUGCCCGGUGCUGGAAGGUUAAGGGGAAGUGUUAGGGGAAACCCGAAGCAGAGAACCGAAGCCCCAGUAAACGGCGGCCGUAACUAUAACGGUCCUAAGGUAGCGAAAUUCCUUGUCGGGUAAGUUCCGACCCG
RNAcentral lists this ribosomal RNA (1793 nucleotides) under human gut metagenome. RNAcentral describes it as "bacterial LSU rRNA". It matches the Rfam family "Bacterial large subunit ribosomal RNA", at positions 176 to 1990 of the family's 2925-position model. The record is from RNAcentral.